This 421-nucleotide ribosomal RNA is filed under the name Potamon fluviatile. RNAcentral's name for it is "partial 16S ribosomal RNA". The stretch from base 296 to 421 matches the Rfam family "Bacterial large subunit ribosomal RNA", at positions 2473 to 2599 of the family's 2925-position model. Lineage: Eukaryota; Metazoa; Arthropoda; Malacostraca; Decapoda; Potamidae. The record is from RNAcentral.
UUUUUAAUUAGAAUCUUGUAUGAAUGGUUCGACAAAAGAAUUACUGUCUUUAUAUUAAUUUUGAAUUUAACUUUUAAGUGAAAAGGCUUAAAUAUAUUAAAGGGACGAUAAGACCCUAUAAAACUUUACAUUAUAAUUUUAUUUAAUUAAAUUUGUAAAUAAAAAUUUAAUUUAAUUAUAUGUUGUGUUGGGGAGACAAAGGUAAAAUGAAUUUUAACUGCUUUACAUUAAAACAUAUAUUUAUGGAGAUAUUAAAAGAUCCUUUAUAGAGAUUAAAAGAUUAAGUUACUUUAGGGAUAACAGCGUAAUUCUUUUUGAGAGCCCCUAUCGAAAAAAGAGUUUGCGACCUCGAUGUUGAAUUAAAAUAUCUUUAUAGUGCAGAGGCUAUAAGAGAAGGUCUGUUCGACCUUUAAAUUUUUAC